Molecule: ribosomal RNA, 483 nt
Filed under: uncultured Rhodoferax sp.
Lineage: Bacteria; Pseudomonadati; Pseudomonadota; Betaproteobacteria; Burkholderiales; Comamonadaceae
Description: bacterial SSU rRNA
Rfam family: Bacterial small subunit ribosomal RNA
Source: RNAcentral
AAACUCAAAUGAAUUGACGGGACCCGCACAAGCGGUGGAUGAUGUGGUUUAAUUCGAUGCAACGCGAAAACCUUACCCACCUUUGACAUGUACGGAACCCUUUAGAGAUAGAGGGGUGCUCGAAAGAGAGCCGUAACACAGGUGCUGCAUGGCUGUCGUCAGCUCGUGCCGUGAGAUGUUGGGUUAAGUCCCGCAACGAGCGCAACCCUUGUCAUUAGUUGCUACAUUCAGUUGGGCACUCUAAUGAGACUGCCGGUGACAAGCCGGAGGAAGGUGGGGAUGACGUCAAGUCCUCAUGGCCCUUAUAGGUGGGGCUACACACGUCAUACAAUGGCUGGUACAAAGGGUUGCCAACCCGCGAGGGGGAGCCAAUCCCAUAAAGCCAGUCGUAGUCCGGAUCGUAGUCUGCAACUCGACUACGUGAAGUCGGAAUCGCUAGUAAUCGUGGAUCAGAAUGUCGCGGUGAAUACGUUCCCGGGUCUU